Molecule: long non-coding RNA, 736 nt
Filed under: Castor canadensis (American beaver)
Lineage: Eukaryota; Metazoa; Chordata; Mammalia; Rodentia; Castoridae
Description: lncRNA (ENSCCNG00000013358.1)
Source: RNAcentral
AUGUUAGCAAAUCCCUCGCUUGAUUUUUCUUUCUCCAUUUGUGUAACAGGAAUGAUCCUCAGGAAACAAGGCCAUGGGAGGCACAGGCCCUGUGACGGGCUCUCAGGAGGGAGCUCCCCAGGUUUCAACCCAUCAGCGCCAGAACCGUAUCAUCUUUGCCAAAAUCUGUACCUGCAACAUACCUGUCCUGCGUUCUCCCUUUUACUCUGUAUAACUCCAUUUUGAAACAAAAGCUUGAAUCUAAUUCAUAGAAUCUCUUAGGGUGCAGACACCCUAAGAGAAAGGAAAGCUGGGGAAAGAAGUUUGGGGUUCUCUAUUGAGAAAACAAGAUUUCUCCUGUGCGGAGCCAUGAUAGAUAAUAGGAAGAGACCAUUCGGAAGAUUUUGGGUAGCCACGAAUGCAGAUUUUCAUUGUAUUCAUCAUAAUUAUCUCAUGUGAUCUGGCAACUCAGGACCUAACUGCUCAGCUAUAGACUGAGCACCAAGAAAAUCAAAACUCUUUGAAGGUUCCCUACCUCUGCUUAGCCUCCUCUCUGUGGGGAAAUUCAGGCUGGCUAUUUAGCCAGAGCUGCCUCGAAAGAGAACAAUUACCACAACUUAUGGCAGGGACUUUAUGCUCAGUAGUGCAGAAGCUCCCCAGGCACACUACCAACUGUGACAAAAGAUGUGGAGUCUCAUUGGUGCAGAUUGGAUUCAUCACAAAUUUCCUGGAGGCGUGAUCAAGCAGUAGAGUGCCC